AUCCAUCUGAUGUAUCCCAAAUAGGACAAAACUCGUGUCCUGGAU
This 45-nucleotide non-coding RNA is filed under the name Schistosoma haematobium. Lineage: Eukaryota; Metazoa; Platyhelminthes; Trematoda; Strigeidida; Schistosomatidae. The record is from RNAcentral.